CAGGAGUGUCAUAGACUUGUGAAGCCGAUUGAUGAUCUUCAUCAUUCUGAAACAAAGGGGGAGCAUCAGAGAGCCUUGCACCAGCAGAUCCUCAGGCAAGACAGGACUGCCCCAAGAGACUACUAAGGGUAUAAACCACAUUAUGUCAUGGGUAAUUCUUUCCUCCUGGAUAAUUAAAAGUCUUUUUAUGGACCAAUCUGCCUCCGAAGAAGAAUGUCAGGGAUAAAUCAGAGCAAUGCCAGGGAUUUCUUGCAAACAGCUGAAGCCAGCUUUCUAGCAGCAGAGGAGCACAAGAGCAGCUGACAUCAACACAGCUCUGGCAUCCUCUUCUCACAUUGCACAAUAAAUCCUCCUCUGUGGUGGCAGGGAGGAAAAGAGGACAAUGUCUGGAGUGAUGUUACUUACAAGAGGAUUCCUUCCACAUGGGACAUGGAUAUUGCUGUUCAUCCAAGCCAUACCACUGCCAGGGCUCAAAUACCACCUGUAAUGGUGAAUUGUCCUCCCAAAUACAAUUAGAAUUUAAUCAUACUCAGAAACAACUGCUUCCUAGAUUUCAGGCCAGCGCUGGAAACAGCUACUUAGACAUCUGAUUUACAGGGAAAGAAAGUAUUAGCUUGUAUGUUCUAAAGCUUGCCAGUCUAAAGUCCUUAUGCAAACUCAUACCAGAUAGGGUAGUCCCAUUGGAAAGCUGAAGUGAUGGAGAUCUGGAUAUAGAGAAGACAGAAGACCACCCUCUGCUUUGGGAAGCUCUGAAGUGUGUAAAACUGAGUUCAAAAGAUGUGCUGUUCUCCAGGUGGUGGGAAGCGUGCGAGCCCUAGGCUGUGCUUAGCUACAGCCCUGCAUUUCCCUCAAGAGGAGGAUUUGGGAAGAAGCUCAAGGACUCCAGUUCUCAUCACUGGUGCGAGCUCUGCUCUCCACAGGAGUGGCAGGAGUGCAGGAGGCUGAGGGCACCAU
Molecule: long non-coding RNA, 954 nt
Organism: Ficedula albicollis (Collared flycatcher)
Lineage: Eukaryota; Metazoa; Chordata; Aves; Passeriformes; Muscicapidae
Exons: 3
Source: RefSeq, a predicted model, not a curated record